UACGUAGGGUGCGAGCGUUAAUCGGAAUUACUGGGCGUAAAGGGUGCGCAGGCGGCGUCGCAAGUCAGGCGUGAAAUCCCCGGGCUUAACCUGGGAACUGCACUUGAAACUACGAUGCUGGAGUAUGGCAGAGGGAGGUGGAAUUCCACGUGUAGCGGUGAGAUGCGUAGAGAUGUGGAGGAACACCGAUGGCGAAGGCAGCCUCCUGGGCCAAUACUGACGCUCAUGCACGAAAGCGUGGGGAGCAAACAGG
This 253-nucleotide ribosomal RNA is filed under the name uncultured bacterium. Its description in RNAcentral is "partial 16S ribosomal RNA". It matches the Rfam family "Bacterial small subunit ribosomal RNA", at positions 524 to 776 of the family's 1533-position model. The record is from RNAcentral.